CCCACCUUACAUGAGCCAAUGACAAAAAGCUGUGGACUGGAAGCAAAAUGAAAGCUCAUAUGGCUUCAAGUAAACAUAAACUAAGAUAUGAAAUGAAAAUGCCAACCAGGGAUUUGUCACGUUCUUGGCUGAGGUCAUGAAGUUUAACCAAUGUAAAUCAACUGCCACAAUAAGAAGGCCAAGAGAGCUCAAAAGCCACAUCAGCCAGCACUGAUCUGACAUCCUUGCCAAGCAGAAAGGCAGCCAAAGGACACUGCUGGUUUAUAUCACAAGCACAUUUAUGAAGAAAGAUUAAAGACCACCAGAAGCAACACUUCACCAAACAGUGAAAAAGAGUUGAGAAGAAAGGCCUGUGGAGAACUUGGAGUUCAGAUACACCAGAUUAUUACAAGGGCCCAUAUAGAAGAAACAAGAAAUGGAACAAUAAUAAAUGUGAAAAGACUAGAUCUGCUGGCAUUUAUAUAGCACUCUUCUCAUCAGUAACAAUUAGUAACCAAAUUUGAACAGUACUAACCUUUACCUGAUAUACUAUUUGAGGAAGGGGCUGUGAUAUUUAAGGAAUGAAGAUGAGAAUGAAGACUCCACCAAAUACAUACAGUACAAAACAGUUAUUAAAGUGAUUAAGUAAUUUUAGCUGUAUUCACAGUCUAAGAGACCAAGAACCCUAACAAGGCAAAACCCCCAAAGCAGAAAUCCCUAACUCAUUCAUGCAGCAUACCCUCUGCUCCAAGGCAGCACUUUCUGGCAGGGUGGACAAGCCAGCUGACCGAUGGGCUUGCAAAAGAACUCAACUCUGCUUUUCCACUCCUACUCUCCAUGCUGAGGAAAACCAAAAGGCUGAGGCUUACUCUGGCUGGGAGUGCCAUAUGGCAGUUCUAUGUGCUAACAGCAGUGCUUGGCCGGGGACUGAGGAGGGAACUGGUGCGGUGGGCUUAGGCAGUUCUAUUUCCCCAGAAUUUAUUUGGGGGCAGAGACUGGCGCUGAUGAAAUGUGAAUUCCCCAGCUUGAAAGGAAGAUGAGAGAGCUUUGAGAUCCAGCUUUCAAGGUUACUACAAUCAAAGGGGAAUGGGUCAGAAAAUGAGUGAUAGGAGUAUAUGUGGAAAAAAAAAGAUUGAAAUUACCAAAGAUCUCAGGAAAAUACAUUGAACAUAAACAGAUAAAUCAAAGGGGAAGAUAUUAAUAACACAAGAGAAGAUGUCCUCCAGAUCAGCCAAAUGAAUAAAGACAGCUAUGAAUAAACAUUUCAAGACAAAAGAAAAUGAAACAACACCUUGUGCAUUCUCAAGAGAUCAUGGAAUGACAGCAGCAUGUUCCUGAAUGGCUAACAAAAGGCAAAAGAUUUAUGAAAGAAGAAUUUAUGACAUGCACAGCAGAUAUAAUCAGCAAAAUAGAAAAAUCUAGAUCCAUAGUAGCAAACCUCACAAAAGAAAUAGAAGAGAUACCGACAGAUUAGGUAUGCAAUGCACAGAAGUGAAGGACAAUCUAGAAGAGAAGCAAAAAGCAAUAAUGUUAAAAGAAAAAUGAUCACAAUACAAGCAAAACAUAUUGACCUCAAAGAUAGAAAGUGUAGGGACAACUUAAAACAGGUAUCCCAAGAGAACAUGACAAAUCAAAAAGUCUGAACACAAUGCAAGAAAUAAUACAAGGAAAUUGCCCAGAACUUCUGAGCACAGAAAACAAAGUGUCAGUCAAAAGAAUCCAUAGUAUCUUCUCCAGAGGAAAAAAAAAACUAUCUUGCAAACUCCAACACACAUGAUGGGUAAUUUAACAAUGCCAACGAUAACAAAUUCUGUAAACGACCAGGAAAAGAAUAUUCAAAUAUAUGUGUAUGUGUGUAUGUAUACAUGUAUGCAUGCAUGUAUAUGUGUGUGUAUUCGUGUGUGUGUAUGAAUUCAAACAAUGUAACCCACCAGAAACUGAAGGAUCAAUGUGUACUGAGAAGCAACGGAACACUGAACCUGUUCUAUCAAUCUCAGUACACCUUGAGAUAGAUAUGUAUUAUUUGUCAUUCUCAAUAUGUGAUGGCUGUCUCCUUUUCUAGUCAUAAAUUGCCUUGAUAAAUGUCUUUUAUACCACACCUCUUAGCAAACCCAAAUAAUUUUUGAUGAUACAUCUAUAGUAUGCAUAUCCAUGUAUCUUUCCAUUGCCAACAAAUAAGAUUAGAGAUAAAAGGCUAAAAAAGUUAACUACCAAGGGAAGCAUCACACUGGCAAACUCAUUUAUUCUGAAGUAUAAUCAUUCAAAUCACUCGAUAAGUGAUCAACACCAGAUAGCAAUUACAAUAAGAAUAAUAAUACCUCACUUCACAAUUCUGCCUAGGGUCAGUUGUAUUUGCUUCCAACUGCAAGAAUGGAAAAAGUAGAUAUGAAUGUUUGUCACAUAUUACUCAUGCGCAAAACUUAAUGGAAACAUUGGCUUUGAUCUUAAGAAAUUGUUAUGAAGGCAUUUGAUUAACAGCAAUGGCUUCAUAUGAUAUGUGAUGAUUUUUAAAAAUUUUUAAAUAUGGGUGACUUCAUUAUAAAGGAAUUUCAUUCUUGGAGAAGUUAGAGCACCACAU
This is a non-coding RNA of Phascolarctos cinereus (koala), 2557 nucleotides long. The record is from RefSeq and is a predicted model, not a curated record. Lineage: Eukaryota; Metazoa; Chordata; Mammalia; Diprotodontia; Phascolarctidae.